This 286-nucleotide ribosomal RNA is filed under the name uncultured Parabacteroides sp. Its description in RNAcentral is "partial 16S ribosomal RNA". It matches the Rfam family "Bacterial small subunit ribosomal RNA", at positions 62 to 339 of the family's 1533-position model. Lineage: Bacteria; Pseudomonadati; Bacteroidota; Bacteroidia; Bacteroidales; Tannerellaceae. The record is from RNAcentral.
UCGAGGGGCAGCAUGGUCUUAGCUUGCUAAGGCCGAUGGCGACCGGCGCACGGGUGAGUAACGCGUAUGCAACUUACCUAUCAGAGGGGGAUAGCCCGGCGAAAGUCGGAUUAAUACCCCAUAAAACAGGGGUCCCGCAUGGGAAUAUUUGUUAAAGAUUCAUCGCUGAUAGAUAGGCAUGCGUUCCAUUAGGCAGUUGGCGGGGUAACGGCCCACCAAACCGACGAUGGAUAGGGGUUCUGAGAGGAAGGUCCCCACAUUGGUACUGAGACACGGACCAAACUCC